RNA transcript from Papilio xuthus (Asian swallowtail), 1159 nucleotides. RefSeq lists it as uncharacterized. Lineage: Eukaryota; Metazoa; Arthropoda; Insecta; Lepidoptera; Papilionidae. The record is from RefSeq and is a predicted model, not a curated record. The transcript is spliced from 5 exons.
GUAAGUCGGACUAGUUAUCGCACACGGCUCCAUCCGUGCUGAAUUAUAAAAAAAACUUUAGUAGCCUGUAUCUGCCAGACUAUGUCUACAUCUAUACCAAAUUUGAGAUUUAUGUAGCUGUUCAGAAGAUACCCAAUAAAAACAUCCAUCUAAACAUUUAUUAUAUUAGUAAGAUUAUCUUAUCGAAAAGAACUAGAUAAUAGGAACAAGGAAGCUCCUAUUUUGUUUUAAAAUUACUUGAGUGGUUUUACUAACGCGUUAUAAAAUUACUGCAAAAUAUUUUUAUCUACGUUUAACACGAAAAACGACUAAAUAAUUGACAUGACAUAAAACAAGAUGAAUUUUGGCGUUAGACAGCUGUCAUUGGCAUUUUCAAAAUUAUUGUCGAUAUGUGAUACAAAAAAGGAAAAUGCACCAGCCCCAACGACAACAUCACCAGUUGCAACAACCACGAAUGUUCCACCUCGACCUGUCGCGCCAGCUCCCAGACCUACCACUGUCUCUACUACAACUGUUGUAAAAUCAUCACCACCAGAAAGAAAUAUGGCGGAAGGUGACAGUUCUGGAGGCAUCAUAGUUUUCGCUCUGUGGUACAUCGCCAUUGCUGUCGGUUACGCCAUGGGCUGGUUUCCAUGUACUGAGCAAGCCGCGGAGUCGGCCGGUGCCGGGGGGCCACCUGCAAAGGACGCCCCACCAAAAGAAACCCCUAAGGGAUAAGACAUCGCACCUCAACAUUUGGUACUGAUAGAAGAUUCUCGCGAACGUAUUGGAAGGGGUUGGUUCCCGUGCAUGGCAGCAGACGCCGUAGGAGGCCCGGGGGUUGCGAGGGGAGGUGGCCCGUCAGCUGGCCCUUCAGGCCCGCGUCCGGCCACGGCUUCGCAGCCGCUGACUCUCACCGCCUCAAUGGUCAGGAGCGGUGAGCGGCUCAAGGAACUGCCGCCCUCGGAAAUUAUAUACGAAUCACCAGCGAAGAAAUGACUACACGACAUUUGUAAGACAGGAAGAAGCCAGACCGCGCACCGGAAGAUGCUAUUCAGACAAAUUGCCCAGCGCGACUCCGACCCGACGCGCGAGACCUGCGCCAUCUGACAAUAACCGGUUUAAUCUGAAAUCUGGAUAUACGAUUUGGUAUUUGGAAUAAAUAAAAAUAGAAUAACCA